Molecule: ribosomal RNA, 465 nt
Filed under: uncultured bacterium
Lineage: Bacteria
Description: partial 16S ribosomal RNA
Rfam family: Bacterial small subunit ribosomal RNA
Source: RNAcentral
GACGAACGCUGGCGGCGUGCUUAACACAUGCAAGUCGAACGGAAAGGCCCCUUUGGGGGUACUCGAGUGGCGAACGGGUGAGUAACACGUGAGUAACCUGCCCUUGACUUCGGGAUAACUUCAGGAAACUGGGGCUAAUACCGGAUAGGAAUCCUUGCUGCAUGGUGGGGGUUGGAAAGCUUCGGCGGUUUUGGAUGGACUCGCGGCUUAUCAGCUUGUUGGUGGGGUAGUGGCUUACCAAGGCUUUGACGGGUAGCCGGCCUGGGAGGGCGACCGGCCACAUUGGGACUGAGAUGCGGCCCAGGCUCCUACGGGAGGAAGCAGUGGGGAAGAUUGAACAAUGGGCGGAAGCCUGAUGCAGCAACGCCGCGUGCGGGAUGACGGCCUUCGGGUUGUAAAACGCUUUCAGCAGGGGCGAAGCUUGUGGUGACGGUACCUGCAGAAGAAGCACCGGCUAACUACGUG